Molecule: ribosomal RNA, 1396 nt
Filed under: Streptomyces niveus NCIMB 11891
Lineage: Bacteria; Bacillati; Actinomycetota; Actinomycetes; Kitasatosporales; Streptomycetaceae
Description: bacterial LSU rRNA
Rfam family: Bacterial large subunit ribosomal RNA
Source: RNAcentral
UGAGACCUGAUGCCGAGCCGAUUGUGGUGAAGUGGAUGAUCCUAUGCUGUCGAGAAAAGCCUCUAGCGAGUUUCAUGGCGGCCCGUACCCUAAACCGACUCAGGUAGUCAGGUAGAGAAUACCGAGGCGUUCGGGUGAACUAUGGUUAAGGAACUCGGCAAAAUGCCCCCGUAACUUCGGGAGAAGGGGGGCCAUUUCUGGUGAUCAUCUUUACGGUGUGAGCUGGGGGUGGCCGCAGAGACCAGCGAGAAGCGACUGUUUACUAAAAACACAGGUCCGUGCGAAGCCGUAAGGCGAUGUAUACGGACUGACGCCUGCCCGGUGCUGGAACGUUAAGGGGACCGGUUAGUCACAUUUCGGUGUGGCGAAGCUGAGAACUUAAGCGCCAGUAAACGGCGGUGGUAACUAUAACCAUCCUAAGGUAGCGAAAUUCCUUGUCGGGUAAGUUCCGACCUGCACGAAUGGCGUAACGACUUCUCGACUGUCUCAACCAUAGGCCCGGUGAAAUUGCACUACGAGUAAAGAUGCUCGUUUCGCGCAGCAGGACGGAAAGACCCCGGGACCUUUACUACAGUUUGAUAUUGGUGUUCGGUUCGGCUUGUGUAGGAUAGGUGGGAGACUUUGAAGCUUGGACGCCAGUUCAGGUGGAGUCGUCGUUGAAAUACCACUCUGGUCGUGCUGGAUGUCUAACCUGGGUCCGUGAUCCGGAUCAGGGACAGUGUCUGAUGGGUAGUUUAACUGGGGCGGUUGCCUCCUAAAGAGUAACGGAGGCGCCCAAAGGUUCCCUCAGCCUGGUUGGUAAUCAGGUGUUGAGUGUAAGUGCACAAGGGAGCUUGACUGUGAGACCGACGGGUCGAGCAGGGACGAAAGUCGGGACUAGUGAUCCGGCGGUGGCUUGUGGAAGCGCCGUCGCUCAACGGAUAAAAGGUACCCCGGGGAUAACAGGCUGAUCUUCCCCAAGAGUCCAUAUCGACGGGAUGGUUUGGCACCUCGAUGUCGGCUCGUCGCAUCCUGGGGCUGGAGUCGGUCCCAAGGGUUGGGCUGUUCGCCCAUUAAAGCGGUACGCGAGCUGGGUUUAGAACGUCGUGAGACAGUUCGGUCCCUAUCCGCUGCGCGCGCAGGAGUCUUGAGAAGGGCUGUCCCUAGUACGAGAGGACCGGGACGGACGAACCUCUGGUGUGCCAGUUGUCCUGCCAAGGGCAUGGCUGGUUGGCUACGUUCGGGAGGGAUAACCGCUGAAAGCAUCUAAGCGGGAAGCCUGCUUCGAGAUGAGGACUCCCACCCACUUGAUGGGGUAAGGCUCCCAGUAGACGACUGGGUUGAUAGGCCGGAUAUGGAAGCACCGUGAGGUGUGGAGUUGACCGGUACUAAUAGGCCGAGGGCUUGUCCUCAGUUG